UACGUAGGGUGCGAGCGUUAAUCGGAAUUACUGGGCGUAAAGCGUGCGCAGGCGGCUCCGCAAGUCAGGCGUGAAAUCCCCGAGCUUAACUUGGGAAUGGCACUUGAAACUACGGUGCUGGAGUGUGGCAGAGGGAGGUGGAAUUCCACGUGUAGCGGUGAAAUGCGUAGAGAUGUGGAGGAACACCAGUGGCGAAGGCGGCUUUCUGGUCUGUAACUGACGCUGAGGCGCGAAAGCGUGGGGAGCAAACAGG
Molecule: ribosomal RNA, 253 nt
Filed under: uncultured bacterium
Lineage: Bacteria
Description: partial 16S ribosomal RNA
Rfam family: Bacterial small subunit ribosomal RNA
Source: RNAcentral